RNAcentral lists this ribosomal RNA (418 nucleotides) under uncultured bacterium. RNAcentral's name for it is "bacterial SSU rRNA". It matches the Rfam family "Bacterial small subunit ribosomal RNA", at positions 355 to 765 of the family's 1533-position model. The record is from RNAcentral.
UAGGGAAUAUUGGACAAUGGGGGCAACCCUGAUCCAGCCAUGCCGCGUGAGUGAAGAAGGCCCUCGGGUUGUAAAGCUCUUUUGUCCGGAAAGAAAAGCAUUCGGUGAAUACCCGGAUGUUCUGACGGUACCGGAAGAAUAAGCACCGGCUAACUUCGUGCCAGCAGCCGCGGUAAUACGAAGGGUGCAAGCGUUACUCGGAAUUACCGGGCGUAAAGCGUGCGUAGGUGGUUGUUUAAGUCUGAUGUGAAAGCCCUGGGCUCAACCUGGGAAUGGCAUUGGAAACUGGUCAGCUAGAGUGCUGUAGAGGGUAGUGGAAUUCCCGGUGUAGCAGUGAAAUGCGUAGAGAUCGGGAGGAACAUCUGUGGCGAAGGCGACUGCCUGGACCAGCACUGACACUGAGGCACGAAAGCGUGGG